GAUGAACGCUGGCGGCGUGCUUAACACAUGCAAGUCGAACGAAGCACCUUGAUUUGAUUCUUCGGAUGAAGAUCUUGGUGACUGAGUGGCGGACGGGUGAGUAACGCGUGGGUAACCUGCCUCAUACAGGGGGAUAACAGUUAGAAAUGACUGCUAAUACCGCAUAAGACCACAGCACCGCAUGGUGCAGGGGUAAAAACUCCGGUGGUAUGAGAUGGACCCGCGUCUGAUUAGGUAGUUGGUGGGGUAACGGCCUACCAAGCCGACGAUCAGUAGCCGACCUGAGAGGGUGACCGGCCACAUUGGGACUGAGACACGGCCCAAACUCCUACGGGAGGCAGCAGUGGGGAAUAUUGCACAAUGGGGGAAACCCAGAUGCAGCGACGCCGCGUGAGCGAUGAAGUAUGUCGGUAUGUAAAGCUCUAUCAGCAGGGAAGAAAAUGACGGUACCUGACUAAGAAGCACCGGCUAAAUACG
RNAcentral lists this ribosomal RNA (477 nucleotides) under uncultured bacterium. RNAcentral's name for it is "partial 16S ribosomal RNA". It matches the Rfam family "Bacterial small subunit ribosomal RNA", at positions 28 to 505 of the family's 1533-position model. The record is from RNAcentral.